AUUUUACUGUCUGUCUUCAUGAAUUUAAGAAUUUUGGGUACCUUGUAUACAUGAAAUCAUAAAGUAUAUAUCUUUUUGAGACCAGCUUAUUUCAUUUGAGAUAAUAUCUUCAAAGUUCAUCUUUGUCAUAAUAUGUCACAAUUUCCUUUUUAAAAGGCUGAAUAAUAUUCCAUUGUGUGAAUAUUUCACAUUUUGUUUGCUCAUUCCACCAAAGAUGGAUAUCUGGGUUGUUUCCACCUUCGGCUAUUGCAUGCAAUGCUGUUAUAAAUAUGAGUGAAUGUCUCCCUCUUGCUGCUAUAAAAGAAGUCAGAGAAUCCCUGCAUAGAGACUGGAGAGCUAUUCAAGGAUCACCAGCAGCUGCUGCCCCUGGCAAGCUGUGAUCUUCAAAACCAAAUUUAACGGGAAAUCUGUGCUGACCCCAAGCAGGAGUGGGUACAGGAAUCCAUGACGUACUUAGACAACAAAUCCCCAGCUCCAAAGUCUUGAAUACUCACACCUGAACUGAAACCAAGCCAAGACUUAAGAAGCAAACAAUCUUAUAUCCCCUGUCCUUUGUGAGACUUGAUCAGUUUAUUAUAAUCCCAAGGAAGAUGAGCUCUGUGUAAUAAUGUGAAUUAUAGUUUUUAAGUAUUGAUUUUUAAAGUUAUUAAUAUUUUAAUUUAAUCUGCUAUGAAUUUUGGUGUGGUUUAGAUGUAAAACUCUGGCUGCAUCAAGUCACUUGUAGUCCCACAAAAACUGUGGGAUGCUCCUCCCUGUCUACCUUGCCAAUAUUAUGAAGGGUC
RNAcentral lists this long non-coding RNA (782 nucleotides) under Heterocephalus glaber (naked mole-rat). RNAcentral describes it as "lncRNA (ENSHGLG00000036001.1)". Lineage: Eukaryota; Metazoa; Chordata; Mammalia; Rodentia; Bathyergidae. The record is from RNAcentral.